GGGCUGUUCGUCUAAUUGGAUAAGACAUCAUAAUUCUAGUGUGAUUGAUGCAGGUUCGAAUCCUGUGCAGCCUGCCA
Molecule: transfer RNA, 77 nt
Filed under: Salmonella enterica
Lineage: Bacteria; Pseudomonadati; Pseudomonadota; Gammaproteobacteria; Enterobacterales; Enterobacteriaceae
Also listed under: 2 other names
Description: tRNA-Arg
Rfam family: tRNA
About the family: Transfer RNA (tRNA) molecules are approximately 80 nucleotides in length. Their secondary structure includes four short double-helical elements and three loops (D, anti-codon, and T loops). Further hydrogen bonds mediate the characteristic L-shaped molecular structure. tRNAs have two regions of fundamental functional importance: the anti-codon, which is responsible for specific mRNA codon recognition, and the 3' end, to which the tRNAs corresponding amino acid is attached (by aminoacyl-tRNA synthetases). tRNAs cope with the degeneracy of the genetic code in two manners: having more than one tRNA (with a specific anti-codon) for a particular amino acid; and 'wobble' base-pairing, i.e. permitting non-standard base-pairing at the 3rd anti-codon position.
Source: RNAcentral